UGCUGGCUUUGGCAGCAUUAUACUAAAAUUGGAACUGUAUAGAAAACAUUAGCAUGGCCUCUGGGCAAGGAUGACAUGCAAAUUUAUGAAGAACAUAAGGAUAUA
This 105-nucleotide small nuclear RNA is filed under the name Microcebus murinus (gray mouse lemur). The record is from RNAcentral. Lineage: Eukaryota; Metazoa; Chordata; Mammalia; Primates; Cheirogaleidae.